This 247-nucleotide ribosomal RNA is filed under the name uncultured bacterium. RNAcentral's name for it is "partial 16S ribosomal RNA". It matches the Rfam family "Bacterial small subunit ribosomal RNA", at positions 523 to 769 of the family's 1533-position model. The record is from RNAcentral.
AUACGUAGGGGGCAAGCGUUAUCCGGAAUCACUGGGCGUAAAGGGUGCGUAGGUGGCUAUACAAGUUGGAAGUGAAAGCCCAAGGCUCAACCUUGGAACUGCUUUCAAAACUGUAUAACUAGAGAUUGAUAGGGGAUAGCGGAAUUCCUAGUGUAGAGGUGAAAUUCUUAGAUAUUAGGAGGAACACCAGUGGCGAAGGCGACUUACUGGACUGUAACUGACACUGAGGCACGAAAGCGUGGGUAGC